AUCGCUUCUCGGCCUCUCAAGGCUAAGAUCAAGUGUAGUAUCUGUUCUUAUUGGUUUAAUAGGGGGGGGGGGGGGGGGGGGGGGGGGGGGGGGGGGGGGUUGGAGGAGUCAGAUUAUGAGCUUGCUCUGUCUGUUCCACGCAUUGUCCUGGUAUUGCAUUAUCUCCAGGAUCAGUGCACCUUUU
RNAcentral lists this small nuclear RNA (184 nucleotides) under Eptatretus burgeri (inshore hagfish). RNAcentral's name for it is "U2 spliceosomal RNA (ENSEBUG00000000197.1)". It matches the Rfam family "U2 spliceosomal RNA". Rfam says of the family: U2 is a small nuclear RNA (snRNA) component of the spliceosome (involved in pre-mRNA splicing). Complementary binding between U2 snRNA (in an area lying towards the 5' end but 3' to hairpin I) and the branchpoint sequence (BPS) of the intron results the bulging out of an unpaired adenosine, on the BPS, which initiates a nucleophilic attack at the intronic 5' splice site, thus starting the first of two transesterification reactions that mediate splicing. Lineage: Eukaryota; Metazoa; Chordata; Myxini; Myxiniformes; Myxinidae. The record is from Rfam by way of RNAcentral.